CCGGGGCAGAGCCCUCCGAUUCCAGCCAGCAGAGCGGCCUGGCUUCAGCUUUGUGGGCGCGGGCACGCAACAGUCACGGUCACGUCCUGCGGGUGCAAGGCCUGACCCAGUUGCCCGCCUCAGGAGCAUGGCAUCGGCCUUUGCGAGGGUGGUCAAGAGCGUGGUCCGGGAGCUGGACCACAGUGGAGAGCUCACCCCUGUGGACAGCCUGCAGAGCUCCACCAGCUUCCAGCUCUACUGCCUUUUGGGCAGGAGGUCCUCGAGUUCACGGUUCUGGAGACACCGCUACACACGUGUCAACCUGUCCAUCAGGGACAUCCUGGAGCCCGACGCCCCCGAGCCAGCUGUGGAGCAUGGCGGCACCUUCCGUUUCCACGACGCUGUGGACGGGCAGCUGCAGGGCAGCGUGGAGCUGGCGGCCCCAGGACAGGGGAAGCUGUCAGGUGGGGCCGCGGUGUCGGGCAGCUCCAGCACCUCGAUGCACGUGUGCAUGCUGCGAGUGGCCCCCAACACCUGGGAAGCCAUGCAUCGGGAGAGGCGCUUGCGGCAGCCUGAGCACAAAAUCCUGCAACAGCUGCGGAAUCGUGGGGAUGACGUGUUCGUCGUGACCGAGGUGCUGCAGACACAGAAGGAGGUGGAAGUCACCCGGACCCAAAAGCAGGAGGGCUCAGGCCAGUUUGCACUUCCGGGAGCCAUGUGCCUGCAGGGCAGAGGCGAGGGCCACCUGAGCCAGAAGAAGAUGGUCACUAUCCCCUCGGGCAGCAUCCUCGCAUUUCGGGUGGCCCAGCUGGUUAUUGGCUCUGACUGGGACAUCCUCUUCUUCCCGGACAAGAAGCAGACGACCUUCAGGCCACAGCAGCAAGGUGGCCAGCUGCCGUGGUCCUCCUGCCUCACCUCCAUAAGGUUCCUCGCUGUCCGCUUAAAGUUCCUGUCGGACGGGCCCGUGGAGGACCGGUUGGCGACCACCGAAGACUUCCAGGGCCUGCAGGCAGAAGUGGGGGCCUGGGCCGUGGGCCUGGAGGGCUUGUCCAAGGAGCCUUGUGGGCAGCUGCUGGGGGCCCUCAGGCAGGUGCUGCGGGACGAGGCUGCCCUGCAAGCCCUGGAUGAGUCGCUGGAGCACGGCCUGCGUGGAGGGCUUUUGGAGCCUCGGGAUGGUCCGGUGGGUGCUGUCCUCCAGUGCCUGGUGUUCUCCUCCAGAAGGCUGGAAGAGGAACUUGCCGGCCCCGUCUUCUACCUGCUGCAAGCUCUAGCUGUGCUGAGUGCAACCCAGCACGUGCUGCUGGCUGAGGUGCUGGAGAUGGGGGCCCUGUCGGGGGCGUUCAAACUGGUGGAGAGCCUUUUGGAGCAGAGCACCCCAUGGCAGGAGCGCAGGGCCGUGUCCCUGCCGCCCGAGCUCCUGGGGAGCAGCUGGGACUCAGAGGCACCCACCUGGGUCCUGCUGGAGGAGUGCGGCCUUGAGCCACAGGGAACUUGAGAACGUACUGAUGCAGGUAGCGGGGGCCCGUUCUUGCCCUCCGGGGCUGCAGAGAGGACAGAGAAAAGGUGUACUGACAAGCAGACAGAUCUGCACUCCUGGGGCUGCACUGGGGCCCCAGGGAAGUGACCCGAACCAGAGAAACUGGCCUUUGGGGUGUGUCUCAUCCAAAUUAAUUCGCUCAAAGGCGACGUGGGUUCGAGCCCUGGUCUGGGAAGAUCCCACGUGCCGCAGAGCAACGAAGCCCGUGUGCCACAACUACUGAGCCUGAGCUCUAGAGCCCGUGAGCCACAACUACUGAGCCCGCGUGCCACAACUACUGAAGCCCGCGUGCCUAGAGCCCGUGCUCCGCAACAAAGAGAAGCCACCACAAUGAGAAGCCCGCGCACCACAACGAAGACCCAACGCAGCCAAAAAUAAAUAAAUAAAUAAAUAAAUUUAUAAUAAAAAAAAA
RNA transcript from Balaenoptera ricei (Rice's whale), 1928 nucleotides. It is a transcript of the gene named gasdermin D, with no coding region annotated. The transcript is spliced from 13 exons. The record is from RefSeq and is a predicted model, not a curated record. NCBI's taxonomy places the organism in Eukaryota, Metazoa, Chordata, Mammalia, Artiodactyla, Balaenopteridae.